Molecule: long non-coding RNA, 5066 nt
Organism: Dermochelys coriacea (leatherback sea turtle)
Lineage: Eukaryota; Metazoa; Chordata; Testudines; Dermochelyidae
Exons: 4
Source: RefSeq, a predicted model, not a curated record
UUUUUAAGGCCCGGCUUGACAAAGCCCUGGCUGGGAUGAUUUAGUUGGUGUUGGUCCCGCUUUGAGCAGGGGAUUGGACUCUAUGACGUCCUGAGGUCUCUUCCAACCCUAAUCCUCUAUGAUUCAAAGAUUGUGCAGGAAAUGGGUGGCAGAAUAUCAGACAAGAUCUGGUAACCUAAUAUUGACAAGGGUCUAGAGAGGAAGCAUGGUCCAGUGGUUAUGGUGCUGACUGGAGACCUGGGUUAAAGUCUCUGCUCUGACACAAAUUUCCUAUGUGACCUUGGUCAAGUCACUCAAUCGCUCUGUGCCUCAGUUUCCCACUGUAAAAUGGGGUUGUAACCCUGUCCUAUCUCAGAGCGUUGCGAGGGUCACUCUGUUACAGAUCAUGCGGCGCUUGGAUUCUCUGGGGAGGGGGGCCAGGUAUAUAGAUCAGAUAGAUGCUUGGUGUAGGGAGCUGCACAGCUGGAGAGACAGGCUUGCGGAGAACUCCAGAGGAUGCCAAUAGCCAGCCAACCUUGUUGCAGCACCCCUUGGGCUGAGCUAUGGAAGGAAGCUGACUGCAGCGGAUGACGGCUGAGCCACAGCAGGGUGAGUAACCCUACAAAUCUCUAUCUGGUAUCAGCCCCUGGCGGCCUCUGCUCUCCGCGCAGCAGGAUGGCGAUUUGUACUUAUGCUCUCAGGAAGCGGGGUUUUCACUUUCCCAAAUCUGCCCGUCAUGAGGCAUUGAAACAACCCUGCGGCUUGUCCUCCACCUCGAUACACGUUACUCCCUGGGAGCUGCCUACAUGGCAGCGGCAGCUGUGUGAGAUCCCUGCUCAAGGCACACCUCUGAUCCUGGGCCUGGGGAGAGGAAGGAGGGUUAGCUAGUGACCUUGUGGGCUGUAGGAGCAUCCUGAGCAGAGCUGGCCCCGAGAAACACAGUUAAGCCGGAAAUCCAAACAUUGACGUUGGGGCUGCUCAGACCUGGGCUUCAGACCAUUGUGGGGAUGGCACCAGCCAUAAAACUUGACUCCAGACCGGGCCUCGCCCAAGCUCAGGGCCACCGGAUCCCGGGAUUCGUCCGGCUGCCUAGUGUGCUCUGUGGAGCACGUACCUGUUAGCCCUGUGAUCACCAUCCCUUCCCAUGCCGGAAGGCGGGAUGCUCUGUAGGAAAGAGCCUUAGCUUGCUGCACGUGACAUGGGCCUUGCCAAAGGCUGGCUCGGUCACUGAUGGCAGCGUAAGGAAUGCAGCAGGAAGGCUUGGCGAUGUGAACUGGGUGUCUGAAGGGGAUGCCCAGAAUUCUGCACUCAUGGGCACGGAAUGGUCUGGUGCAGAAAAAGGAUCUCCUAGAAGGACCUUGAUUUGUGAUGGGAGCAAAUUGGAUGCAGGUUGUCAGGGCAGUGCCACUAGCUUCCUGUGCACCAGGCCUAUCCUAUACCCUAACACCAACCUCCUCCCUCCCUGCAGGACUUGACCUGUCUGGAUCCUCGCUUGCUCGCAGGUUGGGACCAUGGGGCUGCUUGUCAGACUCUCAGCUCAGUGGCAUCAAUUCCAGCCAUCGUCAUCAACAACUGCGUGGCUCUGUCACCUGGACCUGGACUCAGCACCAUUGAGGAAGAUACGCACCAAAUCUCCUUGCCAAUGCAGGUGAGAAGGGUUUGCUGGCCCAGGAAGCAGUUGUGCAAGACUCCCCCAACUCUAAUCAGUCAACAUGUUUCACCUUUGGAGUGACCCGCCCCCUCCUGGAGGUCCCAGUUAGCCAGCUCCUGCCAGACCCCCCCACACCCGGCCACACAAGCUGCCUGCCCAUAAGUGCAUGGGGUCAGAAACAGCAACAUCAAAUCAGAUUUUUUUCAGACUCAAGCAUGUUGAGUGACUGGACUGUACAAGGCAUCAGAAUGGGAUAAAGGUCUGGCCUUCCCCUCUAGGCCUUUGCUUCAAAUCUAGUCUAGGUUAGGAGCAACUACAUAUCGUUACUUUGUCUGUGAACAGUCUGCGCUUGAAACCAGGAGGGUUUUGAAGCAGAGGGACUAUGAAGUUCAGCUCUGGAUUUGAACAUCCCCAGGGGCUGAAUUGAUCUAGCUUUUCUUUUAUCAUCCAGCUGCCCCUUUUAAAUGACCACGGCCUUAAAAUCUAUCAGAGACUCCUGGGUGGGAGCCAGAGCAGAGUGUAACUACUAAUGCAUCCCAUCAGCAGAUAUUUGAGUAUCACAAUAUUACUGCAACUGGAUUCCCACCAUGAAGCCCUGGGUAAUAACCUGGCAGCUGCCAGGUUGACUUGCCUUGCAUGAGUGGUGCUACUCCAAGGAGGUGCAGACCAUGGAAACGACACCUCCCCAUAGGCACUAGGGAACAUCCCCAACGGCAGUGUAAUAUGACGAUGAGAGCAGGCUUUCCCCAGCAUCAUCAUCAUGUAGCCUCUGAUGGGCACCUCUUAAUUUAAGGGGUCAGCAGGGGGCAAGGGGCUCUCCUGUCAUGCAUGGGAGUGCUGUUCAUGCUGGCAUAUCGAAUGCAAAAUAGUAGGUUAGGGUGGAUCUCCGGUCAUCUUUAUUUUGGAGGGGACGCAUUGGAUCCAGCAUCCUACUAAAAUGAUGAUAGGAAGAUACAAGAGUUUAAUUCAACUGCUGUGUGUGAGAGGGGUUAUUUUGGCAUUGCUUUGCUUUUACAACUUUCUCCCCUGAUUGUGGGUCACACAUGGCAAUGGCGGGGGGGGGGGGAGGAGUGAGUUGUCUCAUCUAAAUUAGACUUGUAAAUGUUUCUUAUUCUGGACACUAGGGCUCCAGGAAUGCACCAAGAAAAGUCAGACGCAUCAGUGGGCGUACUUGGAGCCUGUUUGAAACAAGGCUACACCUAGACUUCACCACUACUGUGGGUAAGGAAAUACAGGGCACGAUAUUCAAGGCAGCACAGCAACCUGCUCGUGCCCAAGGAGAAGCUUAAGAGAUUUCUCACAGCAACAUCCCUUAUAAAGAGGAACAGAUUGAAGCAUCAUCAUCUUUGGUGCCCCUAUACCAACUACAGGGUGGAGUGGGAGCAUCUACCACCUUGACUCUUUCAUGGGGACUGAGCCGAUUUCUAGAACAAGUUCCUGACAACCACCCAACCCACUUCCAUGUGAACGUGACUAUCUUGAGCUAGGUGAGGAGUCGAACAUGAGUUCAAGACUGGGUGUAUUACCUGCACUGAGGUGAUAGUCCUGACUUAAGAAUCUUAUUAGUCGCUGCUCCCAUUGUCUUGAUUCUUAAUGUUACCCUCUCACUGUACAAUUAAAUCAGAGUUGAAAACCAGGGGCUGUGUGAAAGUAUGGCUCUAAAGGGUUUCAUAUUGCUUAGUUCAGGGCAAGAUGACUAUACCUGUAAAAGAAGGUUUUAAAGUCUAUUUACUUUGCAGCCCUGCUGUAGAAAGUCUUUCACUCUUGGUAAGUCUCCCAUAAACACCACACACAGAUUACUAUCUUCACGUAAUCCCUAAGCAAAUGAAGUACAUAGCUCAUGAGCUGAGCAGGACUUAACCAGCUUAACCAGCUGUGACCAACUGUCAGUGUGCUGCACUCCUUGCUGUUCUGCUCACAUCAGCGUAGGUGCCUCAAGGUUUCAAGUGUAGAGAAGGCUGCACAGUCAGUCAGUGGGACAAGAAGCCAGGGGGGCUAAGUUCUGAGUCUCACUCCCCAAAUUAGCCACGUCCACCACAAGACUAGUUAAUAGAGGGGGGGAAAGGUUUCAGAUCAGGGGGAUUGGAAAAUUCACACACGUACACCUUAAAUUUGGGAAAAUUGUUUGUUUGGUUUUUUUGCUAUGGGAGCUGAAAUCCUAACAAAAGCUUUGUCUAGAGGCACCACUGUGUCAGUCAGAUGAAAUACAAAAAAAUAUAUCUAUUCAUCUGCUUUUUAAAAGGGCAUCGUUAAAGAUCAGUGUGCCUAGAAGAGACUUCAGCCUUUAUGUUGUCCUCAAAGUGGUGUGAACAGUCAGCCAUCUAUCUAGUCGCUCCAAUAUGAGAGAGAAAAAAGGCAAAUUAAAGUUUUAUUAGGCCCAGCUAAGCUCUUUGUUAGGAGGAACUGUACCUUCAUUAUUACUUGAAACCUUCAUUCUUUUCAGAGUAGCAGCCGUGUUAGUCUGUAUUUGUCUUCAUUCUUUUGUAUGUGUAGCUAGUUACUUGAAUGAAUUAAGCUGGCACAAUUGCUUUGUUGUUAAACCUAGAAUAAACACCCAUUCAGUAUCCAGUCACAGUUGUGUUACACUUCUGCAAACAGAUUGAGUGAUGUGCUAAAUCCAGAACUAAGACUUCCCCAAGUCCUGGGAUAGGUUAGAUCUGAACUUUCCAGCUUCUGCCUCUCUAGAAAUCCUCUAAGAUGACUUUGACUCACCAGUUGCUUGUGCAAUGGUUAAAAAUGUAGAGGGGGUAGGCUUUGUCCAAAGAUCUUUCAGACUAGACAGACCAAUGGUCAAGCUGAGGAAACCCUACCUCUCGAGUAGCCAACUCAGCAGUAUUAAACAGGUGGGAGAAUUGCCUGCCUUGCUCCUCAGACCAGGCACAGCCUUGCAUGUUCAAAUCCCAGCAGAUAGUGUAGGAGGGAGACUUCUCCCCCGCUCCCUUGGGUGAUCCACCUCAAAGCACGAGAUCUGAAUGUUAGUGUCAGAGUUUGCAUAGUUAUAAGCAUUCGUGUCAUAAAAUCAUCACUCAGCCCUUAAUGUCCAGCCACAGAACUAAGGUGAAUCAGUGAAAAUGGUGUGCCCACUUUUGUGUUACAGUGAGUUAAACUUGAAAGGAGGAUUAGAUUUGUAAUCAGUAAAAGGUGAUUUCUCUGUUCAAACACAGGGAAAAAAAUAUUUCCAUUGAUUGGAAUUUACAGCUAGUCUAAGUGAGAGAUGCUGCUAACAACUUGAGUUUGAUUUAAGGACAUUUACUUUGUAUAUUUGGAUAUGUGAUGUUCAAUAUCAAGAAUCAAGAUCGACUGUCAUGACUCCACCCUCAAAUUCCUGCACCUGUGAAAAAUUUGAACAUCAGGGGAAGGGUGGAAAUCCUUAAUCCAUAAUUUUGGGCAACAGUGACCAUGAAAAUAGACAAAUCAGAAACUGCUUAAAAACAAA